UUAUUGGGUUUAAAGGGUGCGUAGGCGGAAAUUUAAGUCAGUGGUGAAAGCCUGCAGCUCAACUGUAGAAUUGCCAUUGAUACUGAAUUUCUUGAAUCUAAUUGAAGUGGGCGGAAUAUGACAUGUAGCGGUGAAAUGCUUAGAUAUGUCAUAGAACACCGAUAGCGAAGGCAGCUCACUAAGUUAGUAUUGACGCUCAUGCACGAAAGCGUGGGGAGCGAACAGGAUUAGAUACCCUGGUAGUCCACGCUGUAAACGAUGAUUACUCGCUAUUGGCGAUACACUGUCAGUGGCUAAGCGAAAGUGAUAAGUAAUCCACCUGGGGAGUACGAUCGCAAGGUUGAAACUCAAAGGAAUUGACGGGGGCCCGCACAAGCGGUGGAGCAUGUGGUUUAAUUCGAUGAUACGCGAGGAACCUUACCAGGACUUAAAUGCAUAACGAUCGGUUGAGAAAUCAACUUUUCUUCGGACGGUAUGCAAGGUGCUGCAUGGUUGUCGUCAGCUCGUGCCGUGAGGUGUCAGGUUAAGUCCUAUAACGAGCGCAACCCCUAUUCUUAGUUGCCAGCGGUUCGGCCGGGGACUCUAAGAAAACUGCCAGCGCAAGCUGUGAGGAAGGUGGGGAUGACGUCAAAUCAUCACGGCCCUUACGUCCUGGGCCACACACGUGCUACAAUGGUAGGUACAAAGGGCAGCCACUUGGCGACAAGGAGCUAAUCUCUAAAACCUAUCUCAGUUCGGAUUGGAGUCUGCAACUCGACUCUAUGAAGCUGGAAUCGCUAGUAAUCGCGCAUCAGCCAUGGCGCGGUGAAUACGUUCCCGGGCCUUGUACACACCGCCCGUCAAGCCAUGGAAGCUGGGGGUACCUGAAGUCGGUAACCAUAUAGGAGCUGCCUAGGGUAAAACUAGUGACUGGGGCUAAGUCGUA
This 925-nucleotide ribosomal RNA is filed under the name uncultured bacterium. Its description in RNAcentral is "bacterial SSU rRNA". It matches the Rfam family "Bacterial small subunit ribosomal RNA", at positions 551 to 1490 of the family's 1533-position model. The record is from RNAcentral.